Metopolophium dirhodum (rose-grain aphid) is the source of this 626-nucleotide long non-coding RNA. RefSeq lists it as uncharacterized. The transcript has 3 exons. The record is from RefSeq and is a predicted model, not a curated record. NCBI's taxonomy places the organism in Eukaryota, Metazoa, Arthropoda, Insecta, Hemiptera, Aphididae.
UAUAACUAGAUAUACUUGACAAUUAUUUCUUAAAUGUACUUUCCGUUUUUGUUGCAGUCGCGCUGAAUGCAUUGAAACGUAAAAUCUGUUACGAAAAACAUUCAUCCCUGACCGUAUAUUAUACGGUCGGUGAUGUGGAGCAACCGAGUGUGGUAAAUGCGGUACUACCAAAUAGUAAUUGGUUCAUAAAGACAGUAUAUUUUAACGAACACCAGACCACCUGUUUGAUCGACUCGGGUUCAUCAAGUGCUGGUACAGGCCGGUCUGGCCGAUCGCGCAGGAUUCACAGACGAUAUAUUGUGUAUGAAAGCAAUGGACGAAUUUGAGGAUACGGAAAAGUGGUUGAAAAUGAAGAAUUUCUAUUCCUAACUUCUGAAGAUUUGGUACAAAAUCAACUUAAUUUUUCAAAUUGUCUUAGAAUCAGAGCGUUUGUGAAGUCAUAUAACUGUGUGGAAUUGUUAUCGAAUUCUGAAGCAUUUAUUAAACAAAACUUUUUAGAAGUGGUUGAAAAUGAUGAAUUCCUAUCUCUAACUUUUGAAGAUUUGGUGAAAUUUGUUUCUUGUAUUUUUUAAUACAGUAACACCACACACUGCUGUAAAGAAAACUAACCAUAGAAGAGAAUUAAG